This 615-nucleotide ribosomal RNA is filed under the name Triticum aestivum (bread wheat). RNAcentral describes it as "partial small subunit ribosomal RNA". The record is from RNAcentral. Lineage: Eukaryota; Viridiplantae; Streptophyta; Magnoliopsida; Poales; Poaceae.
AUGCCCACUGCCAACUGUGAACACCACAGCGCCGCGGCGGCCGCGUCACGCCGCCGACUCCGCAUCUGCUUCAUCGUCUCCCUCGCCGUACUCCUCCUCCUCCUCGCUGUGGCCGUCGCUGUGCUAGCCAUCACGGCGCUCCGCCCGCACCCGGCCGACACCACCAUCUCUACGAUCCGGCUCACCUCCGUGUCUCUCUCCCCUGGACUCUCCCUCAACGUGACGCUCGACGUCGUCCUCUCCAUCCGCAACCCCAGCCUGGUCGCGUCCUUCGCGCAUGACGCCGGCCACGCUGAGGUCUACUACCAUGGCGCGCUCGUCGCGGACGCCAACGUGCCGCCCGGACGCAUCGGCGCGGGAAGCACCAACGUGGUGACCGUCAGGCUCACGGUGCUCGCUGACCGCCUCGCCGGGUACGCACCUCAGUUGUACGGCGACGUGCUCGGCGGCGCUGGGGACGUGUCGCUCACCAUGCGGACGACCGUGCCGGGGACGGUCACCGUUCUCGGCCUGCUCAGGCACCACGCCGUCGUGCUCACGGUGUGCGAUGUCGUUGUCAACAUGCGGCGCCCCGGCGCACAGAGCUCGUCGUGCCAGUACCGGACAAAGUUCUAG